Molecule: non-coding RNA, 2382 nt
Organism: Camelina sativa (false flax)
Lineage: Eukaryota; Viridiplantae; Streptophyta; Magnoliopsida; Brassicales; Brassicaceae
Source: RefSeq, a predicted model, not a curated record
AGCUAUUGCCUAUUCGGGAAGAUCUUCGUCGUCUCUGCAAAGGUUUUGUUUUGUUUUAUGUUGUUUCCGAUGAAAUUUAAUUUAGGGUUCGUCUUGAUUUUGCAUAACCAAACCCCUUCUUUUGUGUUUGUUUUUUCUUCAGUUCUGGGGUUUGGUAGUUUUGUAAUUGUUGUUUUUUUUACCUUAGAUUUCGAUCGAACCCUUAAAAAGAUUAAAACUUUGACUUGGUUUUUCGUUAAGCAAAAUACAAAAUCCCUCGUUGUUUCUUUAGGGUUUCUGAUUGUAUUGUUUCUGCAAAUGAAAACAAAAAACCCUUUUUUGGAUUCGUGAUGUCAAAGUCGAAACCUUUUUGUUACAAAGAUUCAGAUUUUUGUUUUAUAAAAGGUUUGUAAAUCAAAAAAAGCCCUCUUUAAACUUGUGUUUUCGAUCUUAGGGUUUCCAAUUUCAGAACUUGUAAUUCAAAAGAAAGAUCGAUUUUUUCUUUUCUUCUUCGGUUUUAAAGUUUGAUGUUUUCUUGACAACCCAAAGGAAAGGGACUACACAUUAUAUGAUUGUGUUUGUCCGGUUUCUAACUUGGGGAAAUUGUCCGCGUCCGUAAAAAGGCUUGUCAAUACAUUCUCUACUGUCUUGCUGUGGCUGGGACAGCUUGACAGAAACUUCAAUCUCUGCUAAAAGAUCAGUCUUUGUUAAGACUUGGACUAUGAUGUCCUUAGAAAAAUUCAAUAUCUCUGCUUGAAAUUGUAUGGAGUUACAAUUCAAUAUUUCUGCUCAUUUGAUGGAGAGUAAAAAGUCCUUUGGACAAUGAUAUCGAAGAAAAUUCAAUACUCUGCUUAUACAAUGAUUCAAUGUUCUGCAAAAUUUGAUGGAGAAGAAAAAGAUACAGUCUGCAAGUAAGGGCUUGGUUAAUAUAUGGCUUGGCCUCAGAUGCAUGCUCAGUUGUAACAUUCAAUAUCUCUGCUCUUUAUCAUUGGACAAUGAUGUCCUGAGAAAAUUCAAUUAUCUGCUGAAACUAUUAUAUCAUUCAAUAUCUCUGCUGUAGAAAACUUCAGUCUCUGCUAAGUUCAGACUUGUACAGUCAUGUCUGGAGAAAUUCAAUGCUCUGCUUAAAAUAGAAAAUUCAAUGUUCUGCUAACUACUAAUGGAGAGAAAGAAAAAUGUUCUUAUAUAGGACUUGUGCUUGCUGGGGCUUGAUAACAGAAGCUAGAUGGUACUUGGGGCAGAGAUAUUACGUCUGUAAGUAAAAGCCUUUCAAAACUAUAUCCCAAGAUUGGAGACAUCAAUCUCUGCUUAUAUGAGUUCUACUGUCUUGCUGGGGCUGGGACAGCUUGAUAGAAACUCCAAUCUCUGCUAUGAUUAGCCUCUAUUAAGGCUUGGACAAUGAUGUCCUGAGAAAUUCAAUUCUCUGCUUAAGUUAUAGGGAGUGCAGUUCAAUAUUCUGCUAAUUUAAUGGAGAGUAAAAGUCCUUUUCAGGUUCCUUUUGUAAGAUUGGAAAGCUCAGUUUUGCUGAAGCUGGCAGCAUCGUUAACUUUCAAUAAUCUGCUAUAGAAAACUUCAGUUUCUGCUAAGAUCAGACUUGUACAUUGUUGUCUGGAGAAAAUUCAAUUAUCUGCUUAAACUAGAAAUUCAUAUUCUGCAAACUGAUGGAGAGAGUAUUAUAUUCAAUAUUCUGCAAUUUGAUAGGAGAAUAAAAGUCCUCAAGCUAUCUACAAAAAACAGUGUUCGUAAUUUCCUGCACAGCCUCUAUAUAUUGGACAUAAAAGUAAUUCAGAAGAUACAACAUGCAGAUUGUAUCUUUUCCUCUUUUAAUCAGGUUCGUGUCUCUUCCCUCCCCUCUUAAAAAAAGCUUCAAAAGCAAGGACUGGAAUGCGUACAUAAUCUUUCUCAGGUUUGACUUCUCUUCUUCGGUUUUCAAUAGCAUUGUGUUAUUGGUUGUGUUUGAAUUGUUGUAGCGGUACGGUUGUGGGAGACUCUAGCUCUUUGAUAACUACUGGUGCACAAUAGGAUUAGCUGAACGAACAGGUAUGUUUUUGAAUCGUAUAAUUUUUUGUUUCAGUAACUUUUUUGUCUAUAAAACUUUGGUUUCUCUAUAUAUUGCUUCUGCUGCACAACAGGAUUAGCUAUUUGUAGUAGUAGCAUGACUUUGUCUAAGUUUUGAGUUCAGACACUAUAGCAUUGGAGUCUUUUUUGAUUGUUGUAGUAGAGACAGUGUCUGAUCCUCAACCGGAAAAAUUUAGCCAGCUUUUGAUCAGGGGCAUGACUGGAUUUUGGGAGCCUUCUGGUGCACGUCGUUUUCAACACUCCUCUUUCCAAGUGGAUUGUUUGCUUAAGGAUUAAAUAAAACCUCAACUAAGCUGUUCAUAUCUCUAAUGCUAACAUACAAAC